Molecule: long non-coding RNA, 16048 nt
Filed under: Citrus x clementina
Lineage: Eukaryota; Viridiplantae; Streptophyta; Magnoliopsida; Sapindales; Rutaceae
Description: Citrus clementina (C. clementina) long non-coding RNA (CCLE_LNC001412)
Source: RNAcentral
AUGAUGAAAUUAGCCAAAGACAGUGUUUGGAAGUGGCAAGCAAGUGACAAUUUGCUUCUACCAAUGACUUCAGAUCUCAAACCUGUUUCAAGCAAGGCCAGCAAUGACAUCAUGUUCAAAACAGUUUAGCCAGACACACCUGUUCACACCCCUCUACUACAUAUAACCUAGAGGUACAUUUUUUCUAUACGAUUGGCAUUAGGCUUAUCCAGUUCAAUACAGUAUUUCACAAAACUUAUACCAACUUAUUCCUAAUUAUAGUGGACACAAUUAACUUACUUUGGCAACUGUUCUGAAGAGGCUGACAUCAACUACCAGUGAUGACACUCUCUUGUAAUGUUUUGGUGCUAUCUACUAAAUACUACUACUACAUAAUAUUGACAAUUCGUCUGUGUGCAGGCCCGUGAUAACCAUUUAGAUCGACCAGAAACCAAUAAGAUAUUGUAAUCACAAGCAAUCACCCAUCUCUUUGGAUGGUGCUCUAUUGUGAUUCUUUCCUCUAUGACUGUUAAAUAAGCAAUGUAUUGCACUUUUGUUAUGCAAAAGUAUGGCGACCAUGUAUCAACUAGUGUAUCUAUUUUAUACACUAAUUAUGAAUUACUAGAAAUUUUAUUACAUUAAUCAUUUUUAGAUAGUUACUCAUCUCAAACGAAAUAAACUGUUCAGGGACACUUGACCCAACAUGCUUGUGACCGACCUUAGAAUAAAUUUUUGUCACUCAAUAUAGACAACUUCUACGAGGUUAAUAUUUCUUCAAAUUUCAACAAAAUCAUUGGCCACAGGAAUACAUACACAUGUUUCCUUUGGCAUGUUAAGUAGACGGGAGCAACAUGUGGGCUGUACGCCAUUACCUUAAACGAAGCAAAAUUAUCUUGUGUUUAUCAAAGUUUGAAACCAAUUCUGAGUUAAUUACAAAGAAUGUAUGAAUAACGCAUUAUACUCAUACACCAAACUUUAAUCUGAUGGAAUCAAGUAAUUCUAUGUUAAUCAAAGUUUUUAGACUUACAAGAUGAUGGUCAAGUUUAUAUAAAAGCAAAUAACACUGAAAUCUAAUCAUCCUAUACAAACAAAUAUGAUUUAUUCAAUUAUAGCAAACAAUUGUUUUAUCGGAGUUAAUUACAUUAUUGCUAAACUUGUAUAAGCUUUCCUGUUUCAAACAUGUCUACUUAAUUACAUUAUUCAUCGACAAUGUUACUUUGCCCGUGGAAGUUUCAUUUUUUCAUACCUUAAUCACUAUUUAACGCUUCGUUUUCCAAUAGUUCUAAUUCUUCAAAUUUUGGCUUUAUUAUUCCAUAAUUAUAAAUUGAUACUAAUUUGCAGGACUCAAAUUAAAGUGGUUAAUUACUCUAAAGUAUAAUUCUAGCAGUCAAUAAUUACAUAAAAAUAAUUGCAAAAAAAAGUUAAUAAGGAAUAGUAUAAAUUUAAAAACCGCCAAAGUUACGAGAUAUAUGCUUGAUAUUUAAAUCAUGGCCAUAAUAUAUAUAUAUAUAUAUAUAUAUAUAGAUAUAUAUUAUGUGAUUCAGUUCUUAAUUAACCAUUCUAUGAAUAAAUAUGAGAAUUAAGUACAUAUUAUGCCACAACCUUAUUGAAGUGUUCCCACUACAAUAUUAGUAGUCAACAUUAGGUCUAAACACCCACAUAAAUCCAAGGGAUCUAGAUCUACAAAUAUUAACCACUCUAUGAAUAAACAUGGGAAUGAAGUACAUAAUUGCCACGGCCAUAUUGGAAUGUUUCCACUACCAUAUUCGUGUGUCAAUGUUGCGUCUAAACAUUUAUAUACAUCCAAGCAAAUUUAUAUUUGUAAAUAAAUAUAAAUAUGGAAUGAAAAUAAUAGGUAGAAAAUAUAAAUUACAAACAUUAAACUUAAAAUACAGUUGAGAAAGUAAUUAAAUCCACAAUUUAGAUCCUUGAAUUUCACACUCAUCACCUUAGCUUAAAAAAUUAGCCACUCAUAUUAAUAAACAAAACAUUCAUUUUAUUUAAUAAAUUUGUAAAAGUAUAAUACAAAAAAAUUAAAAUAAAGAAGAAGAGCAAAAAAACAAUAUCUUCUUAUUAACUACACUUCUUCAUAAAAUUCACUCUAAAUUUACACUAAAUUUCUCUAGGAAACUCACCUCUAAAAUUCUACACCCCGAAUUAUCAAAUCUCUUGCCUCUAUAUAGGCAAAUUCUAGGUUGAUCAUGUGUGGGCAUUUAGAUGAUAUUUUUGGUGAACUUGCAACCACAACCUUUAGAUGACCUUUGAUAAUCCAAAUACAAGCCAAGGGGUCCAAAAUUGCAAGUAUUGACAUGCAUAAUAAAACCGUUGAUUCAACAUAAUCAAUGGUUAUAAUGAAGUCAAAUCUGGAUCCUCCGUUGGAUUUUUUUUUUAAUUCAAGGUGGUUGAACCACUAAAUUGAUAAGUAUUAAAUCUAGUGUAAAUAAGUGCAUGUGAACUUAGACACACGACACGAUAUCAGCUUUUCAAAAUUAAUAUUAGAUAAAACGGCUACCAAUUCUUUUAAAAGUUAAAAUUAUAAUUUUUACUUUUAUUUAAUAUAUACUUUCUAGUAUUAAUCAUUGAUGAACAAUUUUUUAUUUCAUCGCCGUCUAGAUUGCCUUUAUCUUACACAAAUUUGUUUAAAACCUUUAAAUAGUUUCUAACCACUACAUAAUUUUAUCUGUCGUCCUUAAUCUUGUUAUCCACAACUGACCAACAUAUUGUUACCUAUCAUUAUAGUUGUGUAAUUCACCUUUUGUUAACUGGUUUCCUAAUAUAUUUUAAAAGAAAUGUGGCCAUCUGUUGCUCGUUGGAUCACUUGCUUUUAAAUCCAAUAAUUCCGUGAGAUAAAGACAAAACGCUUGCUAUAGUGCUACAGUUACAACAUAGACGUGGCUGUAGAGGCAGGAAAAAAAUCUAUUUGUUUAGUUACUGUACACUUUUUCAUUCAUUUUGUCCACUGCCAAAUCUUCGAGAGAAACAACACAAAUAAAAAAAGAUUUUAAGAAAUUUGAUGCCUUGUUCGCCGAAUCUCUCCACUUUUAAUUAGUGUCGUGAUCCUGAUCGUGUGAUCUGGUGAUGGUAUGACAAUUACUUUGGAGAAAACACCGGCCCACUUUGAAUAAAAUAAAUUUUAUACCAAAUGAAUCAUAAGGCAAAACACUGCACUUACCUAUCCAUGCUGAUUAAACCCCCUCGCCGACACCUCUGCUCUCACCAUCAAGGCAUCAACACUUAAUAAUGACAAUUGGUUGUGUUAGCAUUUUGGUCAAAACGCUGGACCCCCCGGCCCCCACAAAAAACAAAAAAAAUUUAUGAUAAUAAUAACAUUCAUAAAUAAAAAUUAAUAAUGGGUGUGUUAGCAUUUUGGUCAAAAGCCGAUUUGGCCUUCACAUUAAUUGGAAUUUUGGAUCUAUAAUAUGAUUUUCACCGAAAAGAUAAUUUUGCCGCUAAUUAUUUGGGUAGUCAGAUAAUAAUAACAAAAAAAAAUGUUAUCUCUCACCUAUAACUUGAGGAGAUAAUAAUAAAAGUCUUUCAUCAUACUAUACUGUUUAGUUUCUCUUCUUCAUUUUUUUCCCCUUUGAAGUCUUUCAACAAAAAUGGGUGGCAUCAUCUCAACCUUCUUCUCAGCGGACACAAUUCGUCCAAUUUUAUUUUACGUCGGUGGACAAGCAAAGUAUAUAUGGGGUCUUAUAGGUAAUCUCGAUGACUUGCAAACUGAAAAGGAGAACUUGAUUGCAAAAAAACUAGAUCUACUGAAUAAGGUUAGGCUUGCUGAACAACAACCCCGAAACAGACGGACACCGACGGUGGAACUUUGGUUUAGAAGGGUGGAAGAAAUAGAAACUAAAGUUGAGAGGCUGCAACAAGAAAGAGAUCAAGAGAUUGACAGAUUGUGUCUUGGAGGCUUCUGUUCCAAGGACUUGAUUUCAAGCUACGACUUCGGCAAAAAGGUGGAGAAGUUGAAGGAAGAAGUAAUCAAAUUGUGGGAAAAAGGAGAAGCAAUGAAAGAAGUUUAUGAGGGGGUACCAGAAGGUGCAGCGGUUGCAAUGGCUGUUGACCGAACAAUUGUUGGUCAAGAAUCCAUACUUGACCAAGUUUGGAGAUGCAUCACUGAGCAAAAAAAGAAUAAUGGAAUUAUUGGCUUAUAUGGUAUGGGGGGCAUCGGCAAAACUACUCUGUUAAAACAAGUCAAUAACAAAUUCUGCAGUGAGGAGCAUGAUUUUGAUGUCGUUAUCUGGUCGGUUGUAUCUAGAGAGCCAAACUUGAUGCAGAUUCAAGAGGAUAUUGGGAAAAGGAUAGGCUUCUCAAAAAAUUCAUGGCAGGAUAAAAGUUUUGAAGAAAGGGCUUCAGACAUCACCAACACUUUAAAGCAUAAGAAGUUUGUAUUGUUAUUGGAUGAUAUAUGGGAGUCCGAAAUUGAUUUAACCAAAUUGGGCGUCCCUCUUCAGACACUAGAUUCUGGGUCCAGAAUAGUCUUCACAACUCGUUUUGAGGGUACUUGUAGUAAAAUGGGAGCCCAUAAGAAUCGGUACAAAGUGUUUUGUUUGGGAGACGACGAUGCCUGGAAAUUAUUUGAGGGGGUGGUCGGGAGAUACGUUCUUGACAAGCUUUCCGACUUUCCGACGCUAGCCAAGGAUAUGGCACGUCAGUGUCAUGGUUUGCCGUUAGCACUCAAAACAGUAGGCAAUGCCAUGGCGAGCAAAGUGUACCCUGAAGAAUGGAAAGAAGCAAUUGAGAUCCUAAGCGCAUCAGCUUCUAAAUUCGAAGGUAUGGAGAAAAAGGUGCUUUCGAGCUUAAAGUUCAGCUAUGAUAGUUUGCCGAAAGAUGAACUUCGAUCUUGUCUCCUGUACUGUUGUUUAUUUCCCGAAGACUAUGAAAUUGAAAAAACCGACUUGAUGGAGUAUUGGAAAAGUGAAGGAUUUCUGGAUUCCAGCAGCGGGUGGGGGGUUCUUGGUGCUCUCGUUCGUGCAUGCUUAUUGGAGGAAGGAGGUGACCAUGUAAAAAUGCACGAUAUGAUCCGUGACAUGGCAUUAUGGAUAGCAAAUGAAAUAGAGGAGGAGGAGGAGAACUUUUUGGUUCGUGCAGGAGUUGGAUUAACUGAAGCCCCAAAGAUUGAAGAAUGGGAAGGGGUCAAAAGGAUAUCUUUGAUAGAUAAUGAAAUUCGGAGUCUACCAGAAAUUCCCACUUGUCCGCGCCUGCAAACAUUGCUUCUGGAAUAUAAUUGUAUUAAGGAGAUCACGGACAUUUUCUUUCAAUCCUUGCCUUCGCUUAGAGUUUUGAAUCUAAGUGGAAAUGAUUCCCUAACUGAACUGCCUGUAGGGAUUUCAAGUUUGGUUUCAUUACACCAUCUUGAUCUGUCUUGGACUGAAGUGCGCGGAUUGCCGCAAGAGCUCAAGGCAUUGGUGAAUCUGAGAUAUUUGAACUUGGAGUAUACAUAUGAAAUGCGUAAAAUUCCACAGCAGCUGAUAUCAAGCUUUUUAAAGUUACAGGUACUCAGGAUGCUGUGUUGCGGUCAAAGUCACCAGCCAAUAGUGGAAGAAGGCAACGUUCUAUCUGAUGAUGCUGAAUCAUUGAUGAAGGAAAUCCACUGUUUGGAACAAUUAAAUCUCAUCACCUUGUCCUUACAUGGUUCGCGUGGUGUUGAAAACUUUCUGAAAUUCCCAAAGCUGCAGAAUAUCACUCAAGCUCUGCACAUCAAAGACUGCAACAGUCUACCGCUCAAUUUGUUGCAUCUAGCAAACAUGGAGCAUCUUGAGGAGUUAGAUAUCGAGGAUAGUAAUUUGGAAGACUGGAAUGUCGACUGCGCGGGAGAGGUACAAAAAAUGCGUAAACUUCACUCGGUUGCCAUACGGAAUUGCUCAAAUGUGAAGGACUUGACGUGGCUUGUUUUUGUUCCAAAUCUCAAGUGGCUGCAAAUAUUUCAUUGUGAUGACAUGGAAGAAAUAAUCAGUGUUGAAAAAUUGAGUGAAGUUUCAGAGAUGAUGGGAGGGCUUAACUUGUUCGCAAAACUCGAACUUCUGAUAAUAAAAAAUGCAAGUAAUUUGGAGCGCAUCUACCGCGAUCCCUUGCCCUUUCCACAGCUGGAGACAAUUUCCAUAUCGCUAUGCCCAAAGUUGAAGAAGCUCCCGCUCAAUUCCAGCAGCGCAAAGGGACGUAAAAUUGCCAUUUACGGGGAGAGAAAAUGGUGGGAAGAGCUACAAUGGGAGGAUCAAGCCACUCAAAAUGCUUUCUCGCCCUGUUUCCUACCUUUAAGAAUAAUGAAGUACAAUAAGGAGCAAGAGUGUGAAUAAAAUUCCUGCGUGUGCUUAAUGAUUAUCUUGUCUAUCCAUUUCAUUUAAUUUAAAAGCUUUCUACGGUGUUGCGUGUGUGUCACUUGUCAUUCUUCUGCACUGCUGUUUCCUAUUUCCAGUUGAUAAAAUUUUUUUGUUCUUAGAAAUGCUUUGCUGGUAAUAUAUUCUAUUUACUUUCCUCCUAUUUUCAUUACAGCUAAUAAUUGCAUAGUUGUAUAAUUUUUUAAUAUUAUCUUUAUUUUUAAAUAUACUUUUAUUUAUAUUUAUUAUAAAUUAAAUAAAUGUAUGAAUAGAAAUUAAAAUGAAAACUAAGUAUUAAAACAAGAAAUAUAUAUUUUGAUUUGAAUAAAAAUAUAAAUAUUUGUUUGUACUUUUUUUAUAUAUAUUCAUUAUAAGAAAAUAUUUAUAAAAUAAAAAGUGUAAGAAAAAUAUCUUAUUAUUAAUUUUUAUUCACAUCAAAACAUAUAUUUCUUACUUUAAAUACUUAAUUUUUUAUUCAAAUUAUCAUUCAUAUGAUUUAUUUAAUUUAUAAUACAUAUAAAUAAAAAUAAUAUUGUAAAUUAUGUUGUUAGAAAUUAUUAGUUAUUAUAAAAAUAAUAUGGGAUAAAUGGUAAAUCGGAGAUAUUGUUUCCUAUUUUCAGCUAAAAAAUUUAUUUGUUCUAAUAAUUGCUUUGCUAGUAAUAAGGCCUGCAAGUUGCUUAACUGAAUAUGACUUCUUUUUUAAAAAUGUUACUAUCAAUUUCGAUGAUUGAUUAUCUCGAAGUAGUGAAAUUUAUGUAAUGUUGGUAUUAAAAAAAUUUGUGCUACUGAUAAAAAAAAGUCCAUUAGAUUCGGCCUAAAUGACGGAUCGUGGCUUGAUUUUCUCAUCCCAAAGGCUCUGUAUCUCACUUUCGAAAGUAGUUUUAGCAUAAUGUAGGUGAAAAAUUAAAAUAUUCUGCGAUCUCUAUAUAGCUUUUCCAACAGAUUUCACCCAUUUGACUGUAGACCAAAGCAUCCAUUGGAUCGAUGCAUUUAUUAAGAAGAGGAUCAUUCGGAGCUACAAUUGGAGGAUCGAGUCACGCAAAGAGUUUUCUCUACUUGUUUCGAUCCUAUGGAGAUAGAGUUUUCAUAGAUUGAUGGUAGGAGCUUUUUUGUCAAUUUAUGUAUCUAAUUGUGUUUAACAUGCUUUCUUGUCUUUCAUAUCAGACAUUGUAAAUUUGUGAUGUUGCCAUUUUCUUUUUCCUAUCAAGAAAGAAAGAGCAUUGCGAGUAGUCUUUCCAAUUUUCACUCCUUUUUGGUAUGUGAAGAAAAAUAAUAAAGCAAAACAAACUAGUGUUGGAGAAAAAGAAAAUGACAAGUUCAAUAGGGCAAAAGUUCAUCAUCCCUUUACCAUUUGCUCAAGCAAGUAAGCUUUACGUUUACUUCUUGAGAUUUGAACUAACCAGACAACUUGUAAUGUUACCAUAAAGUUCAAAGAUUAGAAGAGAAAAACUUAUGUCUGUUAGGCACUAUUAUUCAGGCUUAAAUAAUAACAAUAAAAUACUACACCAUGUCUGCUCUCUUUUACUUUUCUUGGUUCUGUUGUAAAAUUCAGUUCUAUUUGAAGGAAAUUAUUAACAUCAAAACUAAAUACUUCGUGAGCAUCUACUGACAACAUACUCCAGAUGACACCAUAACCAUAUCAUAUAAAGCAAGAAAUGUGAAAUAAAUACAAAAUGAAUCAUAGGAGGGAAUUACCACACUCUGCGGUCUCUCCUGCUAAACCCUGCAGUUAGAAUGCCAUUUGUCGUGAGCACCCGAAUCCCCAAAGGACUCCCAGCUUCAGGUGGCUUUGACUUAGCUUGCUUUAGCUCCAUUGCACAUACUCACUCACAUGAAGGAAAUGAACAGAACAAGAAACCUCAUCAUGCCGAAUAUGAUAGAUAUGACAAGGCAUUACACUGUAGGAAGCUCCCGAUUUCUCUACAAAACUCUGCAGGUUCUCCACAAUCAAGGCGUGCUCCAUCUUUAACAGAUCACUUCUACCAUUAAGAGAAGGAAGAGAGUUCCUCUCGUGUGGCAGUAAAUCCUUACUUAACACAGGAUUGAAGCCAACCAAGAACGGAAGGCAAUUUCGUUAGAUUAAGAACCGAAUCACCAUCCAUUUGAACCAGAACUCUUGUUAAAUUCUUGAAAUCUCCUGCUUUCAUCAGUCUGUAAGAGAAAUGAAGAUGAGAAUAAUAGCCAGAACCGGAUUAAAUUCAAUCUGGUCUUUUGAAGACUUCUAUAACAACUAAGAGAACCCAGUGUACCGCCUACAGAUACUGCCAGGCUUCUAUCAAAUAUCCCAAACACCAAAAACCAACCAAAUUAAGCUAACAAACCUGCAUGAAUAUCUAAAUUUCAAUGCACAUGAAACAAACUCCGUCUUCAAUCCACCAAAACUAGCAAAUUUCAAACUUUAUCACUCAUCAUUCUCUCUCUGUCAGCUGUACGAGGCUAUGAGAUCAUGUUAUAAUGUUCAUAUUGAUGCUGAAUGUUUUGCCAGCUUGUCUGAAUUCCAUAAGAGAAUGCAAUGUGCACAUUAUUGUGCCUUGCCCACCAGUAGAUUCUAAACCACAAAAUCAUUCUGUGAAGUAGCUGACGUUUCGCACAUUCUUAUCCCUUAUCAUCAAUAUUCUUCUCCUCAAGCUUAGAUCAUGGAAAUUUGAGUGACAAACAUGAUAACAUCGUAACACCAUCAAAACUUUAGGGGCAUAAAGUAACAUAGAAGCAACAUGGGAUGUUUUAAAAUCUAUUAUAAUUUGCUUAGGCCCCUGAAUAAAAUUAAAACUUGUAAUGAAAUAAAGUAGCAAAAUAAAGAUUGGAGGUCGCAUGCUUGAUAUUUGAUGCUGUCAAAAUUAAUUUGCAGUGCUGAAAUUGCUGCUCCAAUAAAUUUUUCAAUGGGAUUUCUAUAUUUACAACAAAUUUUCAGUAUUGAAACAGGAUUAAAAUCAUAAAGUGUCUUUUAAACAGCAGAGGCAACAAGAUCCUACAGAAAAAGAAGGCAAAAAGUAGUUACAAGCUACAGAAACGCAAAUAUUCUACUGGCCAACUCCCACUAAAUUCGAAGCGAUUCUAAAAUCUCAGCUUGUACUACGACAUCAUUCCUUCUAUGUGGCCCAACUGUACUUCACCCAGAAAUCACAUUUCUUCAUCAGAGAUAAUUUUACUUCUAAUAAGAGAGAAUUUUUUAUAUGCAUGGCUUUACAGUAAUGAAUAAUUUUCCUUAAAUCUUUUCUAACAGACAAGAAAGCACAAAGCACAAAAAUUGAUAUAAACAACUUUUCUCGAAGCUUUUUCAUAAGAAAACCUGAACAUGAUUGCUUCUCUUAGAAGGCCCCCUAGCUUCCUGCAAGAACCUUGUGCCCCCAAAAAAAACAAAGGAUUAUAAUUAGGCAUAAGGCUCCCAAUGUUCUUGCAGGAAUUAUGAUGAAUAUGAGAGUUUCAAAAAAGAAAAAAAAAUAUUACGACAACCUCUAGGCGGAGGAAAUCAGUUUUCUAGGAAUUCGUUAGAUUGGUGAAGUUAUAGAACCGCAGCAAUUUGCUGUAGUUUGGAAUGUUUUUGCCUUUCAUUAUAGCAUUUGAAAAGGCUCAAGGAUAUAGAAGAACCUUGGCUACAAAUUCAGGGAAGAUUUCACUUAUAAUGAGAAAUAAUCACCAUUAUUAUAUACAAUGAGAAAACAGUUAUGGAAGAAAUAGAAAGAAUUACCCGAAACGGAGGAUUUGGAAGACAAUGAGACAAAAGUAUAAAGAAGAAGAAAUUGGAGAUAUAAUGACUGCCUAUUUCUUUGAUGAACCCAUCAAAAACGGCUUGAAAAUUAAAGAAAUUGUAAAAUGCUGUAACGGAGGAAUUGAAACUGUAAAAGAUGCAAGUUAAUUCAUGGGGCUGGCCAUCUUGAUUGAUUGAACACCUAUUAGAUUUUUAAUAUUAAAGAACUCACUUUAAUGAUGUUUAAUUGGUAGUAGCCCUUUAUAGUCUUUAAACCUUUAGCAGUGCAAAGUCACAAGCUUUGUCCAGAAUCUAAUGGCGUAGAUUAUAGGCGAUGGGUGCCAUCACCUGGGCAACGACGUACAUCGCUUGGGCGACAAGCCAAUUUACUAGGCUCAUCGCAAACAGCCUUCGUCGCCUGGGCGAUGGCCAAAUCCAUCCAAUAAACUUUCAGCUCAUGUUUGAUAGUCUAAAAAAAGUAGUUAUGGUGGCCAUCACACAUCACAUUUUACUGACAAGCUGUCUUAAUUUUCAUAGAAAAUUGUUCCUACUGAUUUUCCAAUACUGGCCUAAUACUUGCAGAUUAUUAAACGAUUAUGGAAUGGCAGCAAACCGGCGCCGCAGGGGGGGGCCGGCCGGGGUUGUUGUGCCAAUUUGGGAGGGGUAAUAAACCCUCUGAGGCAAUUUAGCAAACAUAUUAUCCACUUCCAAAUAAAACAGAUUCUAGUAAAUGCGAUAAAGAAAUGUUUAUUUCAAUUUCCAACCCAGAUCUCAUAAAGAAUUUCUCACUCUAAUAAACAAAUAAAUAUUAUCUGGUAAUGGUAUGACAUUUAUUUUGAAGUAAACACUGGCCCACUAUUUUCUCAAUUUUCCAUUGUUUGAGGACACCAUUUUCUCAAUUGAAGAACAUGUUCUGGCCAAAAUUCACAAUUUUCUCCACGUGAUUUAAAGCACACAGGAUUCACACUUUUCUCCACGUGAUUUAAAAGCACACAGAAUUCUCCUGACCUUAAUUACGGAUCUUAUUAUGUUUAUUGAAAUCCAAUAUUGUAGACUCAUUGUUGUAGCUAGAAAAUCAUAUUAAUAGAGUAAAAUUUAUAAAUAAUCAAAGAAAAGAGUUCACGCUCUUACUUCAUUACUUUUAUAAUCUUAUUAGUAUAUCUACUUACAUGUCUUCAGAAAAUACAGUUUUAAGAGGAUAUUUUUAUUUUUCUUCGUAAUAAUAGAUUUAAUUUUCAUCUUUCUAAUGUUAAGUUGCAUAUUUGGAGUAAAUAAGAUUAAAUUUCAAAUUAGAUCACAGACCCCAUUUUAAUAGAUUCAAUUGGAUUUUGGACAUCUAAUUAAACAACUGGACUAAUAAAUUGCAAAUGAAUGAGAUUUAUAUGUGAUUUUAAAAUAAAAUUUGAACUCAAAUCUAUGUAUUUAAUUAAUCCAACAGGACAAAUUUAUAAUUUUCACCAACUAAAUAAAAUAUGUUAUCAGAAGCUUUUGGACCAAGUCGCGCACUUCGUGGGUCUGCUACUACUUAUAGUCCAUUCUCAUUCAACUUUCACAUCUUUUAUAUUAUGUACAAAUUGGAUAAUAUUCUAAAAAAGUGUUUCUAAUUGUUUAACGUUUUAUUUCUGGGUAUAUUUAGAGAUUAAAAAAUAUGGGAAACAUAAUUAAUUUUAUCAAAUAAAAAGGAGUAUUGUUCAUUUUUUCAUAAACAAUGUGUUAAAAUACUUUUGGUAUUUAAGAAGUAAAAAUUUUUAUUUUUGUUUCAUAAAAAGCAUUCAAAAUUAUAUUAAAUAAAAUUAAAGAUUAACAAAACUGACAUCUGAAUUUCGUGCAAAUUAUAAUAAGUUUAUCUCCAGCGUGAGUAACAUUAAAGCUUGGCUAGCAUCAUCAUAUUUUGUCUCCAGCAUCAAAAUUCUGAUAACAUCAACAUCAUAAUUCCAAGGUUGUCAAAACUAAUUAUCAAAUUAAAAUCCUUUGUGAUUUAAGCUCUCUUGGACUUUUAAAAAUGUUAUGCCACCCCUUCUUUAAUAAUAGUAGUAUAUGAUUAUGAUUUAAUUAUUUUAUUUUUUAAUUUAUCAAACACCAAUCACUUAAAUUAAACUCAAGAAAAAAAUUAGAACAUCAAAGAAUUUUAAUUGCUUCUUAUUAAGUACUAGAAUUAACUUCUCCCAAUGAUAAUUUAUUAAGCAAACCAUAAUGAUCAUCUUACACUAAAGAACCAACCCAUCUUCAAAACACAAGAAUUUAGUACAAAUAAUUAUCCCAAUAAAGUUUAACGAAAAAGAAAAGAGAUAUUUUUAUUAUUUCUUUUACUUUCUUAGUGGCUCUGCUACUACCUAUAGUCCAUUCUUAUUCAACAUACAGAUCUUUUAUAUUAUAUGCAAAUUAAAAUAUAUUCUAAAAAGUGUAUCCAACUGGUUAACAUAUUAUUUCUAGAUAAUAAUCAAUUUUAUCAAAUAAAAAGGAGUUUUGGUCAUUCAUUUGGCUCCGUUGCCACUGUUGUACGCUACAAGAGCUUUUGUCUUUGCUGACUCAGUUACUGUAAAAUGUCGUUCAGCCCCUUAUACUCUAUUUUAUUUAUAAGAAUUAUAAAAAUUUCUAAUUACCUACACUUUCAAAAUUCAAUUUAUCUCCUUACAAUCUUUUUCAUUUACUUUUUUUUGUAAGUAUUAAAAAGUUUCUAUUUACAACCACGACAUAGUAAUCAUCAUAACACACGAAUAUUUAUAAAAAUAUAAAAAUAUCAUUAAAUUAAUACUAAAAAAUGUUUUCCUCUCUUGAGGAAUUAUGGUAUCUCAUUUUCGAUCACUCAUUAUCAACAAAAUUUUCAAAGAUAUGACCAUUCGUCUUCUUUAUAAUAUCAUCUUAUAAUAAUUAAUACUUUCAUGAUUAAAAAAAUUAACAAAAUAAAGAUAAAUUCCCUUUGAAUCCAUCCCUCUCUACUAUCAUUUUCUCUUCAUUAGCAACAUUUAUCAAUAAUUGAAGCCACCAUCAGACUCAUCACACAGAGAGAGUGAGAAAGGGGAAGAAGAAACGGGAAAAAAAAAUAUAUGAGACAUUUACAAUUUUAUAGUAUGUUUAUUCAACGAGAUUCAUAUAUAGUUGCUAAGGGGUUUCAUUAGACAUAGGGAGUUUAUUACACUGAAACUUUUAAUCCAGUAGUUAAGGCCUCAACAAUCAGAGUUAUUCUUAGCCUAGCAGUACUUAACAAGUGGAUAAUCAGACAAGUGGAUAUUAAUAAUGCCUUAAUGGCAUUCCAGUUGAAGAAGUUUACAUGGCACAACCUGAGGGAUUGGUGGAUCCUACUAAACCCCAACACAUCUGCAAAUUAAAAAGGACUAUAUAUGGCUUGAAGCAAGCUCUCGGGGCUUGGUUUGAUAGAUUCAAAGCUGCAAUGAUUACUCAAUGACAUUUUCAACACUCAAAAUCAGAUAAAAAAUAUCAAAAUAUUUAUAUCAUUAAACUUUUAGGCCUAAUUAACUAAUUAAAGUUCUAAAUUUUUAUUUAGGACAUUAAAAAGACCGGAUAGAUUCUAUUAGCCCAAAAAUUUUGUUUUAAUUUUAAUAUCUAUUAAAUAUUUUAAACUUAAAUCUAUUUUUUAUUUAUUUUUAGAUGUUAUAAUUGCCCACAGCGAAUCACAAUUUUAAUAUCUAAUCUAAUUUAAUCUAAUAUUUGCUCUUGAUUUGCUCUUACUUAACUAUUGUGCUGUAAAGGGAAUAGUCCACAUUUAUAAAGUGCCCACGCCACCAUUGAAAAAGUUAAUUUUGAAUCUAAAUUUGAUUUUAUUUGUAACAAUUUUGUAUUAGACUAUUAAUUUAUUUAUGAUAGUUUGUAAAAGAAGUUUGUAUCCCUUGCAUGCUGCAUUACUUACUAAUUUAAUGUAUGUGACUUUUGUAAUGGAUAUUAAUGCAAGAUAUUUUUCGAACUUUACUUUUAUUUUAAUAUGAUUAACUCAAAUCGAAAACAAAAAAAUGUAUUAAUUAUUCGGGAAUCGGGGACCCUCAAGGAUCCCCUAUUAUUAUUCGGGGAGGAGAUAGAGAUUCUCUUAAGUAAUUCUGACGGGGACGGGAAGGGGAUGAGGACAUACACAAAAUAUUGGGGAUGGUUACGGGGAGAUUGGUCCCCUCCCCUCCCCUCCCCAUUGCCAUCCCUAACUCCCUGACUAAAUAAUUUGGGAAUAUAAGGAUGCAAUAAGAAUUGAGUGGUCUUUAUUCCCAUAGCUUUAUUUUUUUCUCGCUUCAUCCGUGCUCUAUUCAAUCUUUAUGUGUCGCUUGUGUUAUGUUCCUGCGUAUCUAAUUACUUUUAGAUGCUAGUUGAUAUUUGACAAUUUUGCAGGUUAAGGAUAUUAGAUGGGACGCAGAACUUGGCAGUCAGAACAUGGAAUUACGGUUGGUUGAAUACUUUGCAGAAGAGUUUAAUAAACAAGUUGGUAAUUGGGUGAUGUGAGGAAAUCUCCCAAGGCCAUGGCUGAACUGAAGAAGCAAGUUAAUUAAACAAAAAUAAUUCUUUGUACGAACACAAUGGAACCAAUAUCAGUUAAAUCUCUCCAUGAUGAUAGGGGCUUCAGGUAGGUGGAGUUCAAGUUCAGAUUUUACUGUUUGAGGUGUGUUUAAUUUUAUUAUCAAAAUUAAUGUGUUCUUUAAAUGGGUGAGGAACUGCAGAACAUGACAAAUAGAGUUUGUUGUGUGAGGGUGAGGAACUGCAUAUUCUCUUACGAGUGCUUUGUUCUUUAAUAUAGCACUAUAAGACAUCUUCUGAUGAAAAAUAGAGUCAAUAAAAUGACUCCAGACUGACUGAGCUGAUACAUUUUUUAUUCCAAUUCUUACAAGAGAUUUUUUCUUUCUUUUUUUUUUUCAAGUUUACUAGUGGUACUUUCAUUUGGUAAAUUAUUCUAUAUAUAUAUAUAUACUCUAAUCAAUUAUAUUGGCUUAUUUUACUUUUAUUUUGAAUCACGCUGCUGGUAUAUAUAAAAUUUAUUUAUUAAUUUUGGUGAAAAUUUUGUUCUGUUGCACACAGAUAAUAAACCCAAAUACAUUCACAUGCAUAUAUGGGGUUUGUUUUGUCUCUUAGGAGCAGCAUUACCUGUCAAAAGCUCGAAGAGCUCUAUGAACUUAUGCAUUCAGGGUUGAAAAUGGACGAGAUAUAUGCAGUGGAGUUCAUUGGAGGAGCUACUGUAGUGCCAAAGUUGCAGGUUUGAACUAUCUGCUUUGUUUUGGUAGUUAACCCGAGUAUUAAAUUCUUGAGGCAUGUAAGGUAGUAGACUUUAGCCAAUUCAAGAGUAGAAUAUAAUAUGUUUACUUGUUUUGAUCUUAAUCUUUAAUCACUUAGCCUGAAUAAGAAAUAAUUUUUUUAUAUUUGCUCUGCAAUGAUGUUAUUCAGUGUUAAUAGCUUUGUUACUCUUUUCCGCACAGAUUCUUGAUCUCAAAAGAACUUUUAUUUUGAAUAUUCUGCAUAAGGACAAUCUCAUUUAAUACCAUCAGUGAUUUUUCAUUUUUUUCUCUUUAGUUUUAAUAUGUUUGAUAACUGUAUGGCUAAGCAAUCUAUGCAAUUUUAUCUUGUCGUAUGUUUGAGCUCAUUUUUUGUUGCAAUUCUGAAUAUUUGGUAUGAAUUAUGUGAUACCGGACAAUACUGUUAACUUGUUAAUUUCUUAAUUUUAAUAUCUUGUCAAAGUCACUAAUAGCAUUUCAUCAUGCUAUGAGUUAAACAUGGAACAAAUGACGACAUGCAGUUGUGGAAUGUGGUAGAUCUCUGGAAUUCUAUGUCCUUAUGCUUGCAGGGCAACACAAUACAUUAGUUAAAACAUUAAAGACUAUGAUGUCCGCAGAAAAUUAUAUGUCAACAUAUGCACCAGGCAUGAUGAAAUUAGCCAAAGACAGUGCUUGGAAGUGGCAAGCAAGUGACAAUUUGCUCUACCAAUGACUUCAGAUCUCAAACCUGUUUCAGGCAAGGCCAGCAAUGACAUCAUGUUCAAAACAGUUUAGCCAGACACACCUGUUCACACCCCUCUACUACAUAUAACCUAUAGGUACUUGUUUUCUUUACAUUCUUUCUAUACGAUUGGCAUUAGGCU